CUAUGGAUUGUAAACUGCUUUUAUACGAGAAGAAACACUGCUUCGUGAAGCAGCUUGACGGUAUCGUAAGAAUAAGGAUCGGCUAACUCCGUGCCAGCAGCCGCGGUAAUACGGAGGAUCCAAGCGUUAUCCGGAAUCAUUGGGUUUAAAGGGUCCGUAGGCGGUUUAAUAAGUCAGUGGUGAAAGCCCAUCGCUCAACGGUGGAACGGCCAUUGAUACUGUUAAACUUGAAUUAUUAGGAAGUAACUAGAAUAUGUAGUGUAGCGGUGAAAUGCUUAGAGAUUACAUGGAAUACCAAUUGCGAAGGCAGGUUACUACUAAUGGAUUGACGCUGAUGGACGAAAGCGUGGGUAGCGAACAGGAUUAGAUACCCUGGUAGUCCACGCCGUAAACGAUGGAUACUAGCUGUUGGAAGCAAUUUCAGUGGCUAAGCGAAA
RNAcentral lists this ribosomal RNA (437 nucleotides) under Flavobacterium sp. RNAcentral describes it as "bacterial SSU rRNA". It matches the Rfam family "Bacterial small subunit ribosomal RNA", at positions 416 to 856 of the family's 1533-position model. Lineage: Bacteria; Pseudomonadati; Bacteroidota; Flavobacteriia; Flavobacteriales; Flavobacteriaceae. The record is from RNAcentral.